RNAcentral lists this ribosomal RNA (497 nucleotides) under uncultured bacterium. Its description in RNAcentral is "partial 16S ribosomal RNA". It matches the Rfam family "Bacterial small subunit ribosomal RNA", at positions 28 to 507 of the family's 1533-position model. The record is from RNAcentral.
GACGAACGGUGGCGGCGUGCCUAAUACAUGCAAGUUGAGCGCUGAAGGUUGGUACUUGUACCAACUGGAUGAGCAGCGAACGGGUGAGUAACGCGUGGGGAAUCUGCCUUUGAGCGGGGGACAACAUUUGGAAACGAAUGCUAAUACCGCAUAAAAACUUUAAACACAAGUUUUAAGUUUGAAAGAUGCAAUUGCAUCACUCAAAGAUGAUCCCGCGUUGUAUUAGCUAGUUGGUGAGGUAAAGGCUCACCAAGGCGAUGAUACAUAGCCGACCUGAGAGGGUGAUCGGCCACAUUGGGACUGAGACACGGCCCAAACUCCUACGGGAGGCAGCAGUAGGGAAUCUUCGGCAAUGGACGAAAGUCUGACCGAGCAACGCCGCGUGAGUGAAGAAGGUUUUCGGAUCGUAAAACUCUGUUGGUAGAGAAGAACGUUGGUGAGAGUGGAAAGCUCAUCAAGUGACGGUAACUACACAGAAAGGGACGGCUAACUACGUG